Molecule: long non-coding RNA, 630 nt
Organism: Lynx canadensis (Canada lynx)
Lineage: Eukaryota; Metazoa; Chordata; Mammalia; Carnivora; Felidae
Exons: 2
Source: RefSeq, a predicted model, not a curated record
GUCACCGGACCCAAGUGCAGACGAGAGGCCCACGGAAGAGGAAUCACCCUCCAAGCCACCCGACAGCAAAACAAGGACCAAGAGCUCGUCAUGGACAGUCCUCUCACACAAGACCAGAAGAACCAAGAAAAACAAGAGGGAACUGUGGGGAAUAAGUUUAAGAAUUCUCUAGGCUUACACCAAUGGGUUAACAAGGCUUAGAGCAGAAAGCCGCUUCUGCUUCCACAGUAACAGGUAGGGGAGGAAAGCUGCCACAGGUAGAAAGUGCCCAAGGCUAGUCGUUAAGUAAAAAAAAAAAAGAAAAAAGGAUAGAGCUGAAAGUGGCUGCAGGGUGAAAAAGCCCAAGGCUAGCUAGCAAGAAAAAUGCCUCCUUAACCUUAAGGUGGCAUGCCCCACUUACCUUAAUCCCUAGAAAAGUUAAGAUAAAAUAAACAGAUAUGGUGCCUGCUUUAAGUAAAGUGCCUGAAGUAAAAGCACUGAGAUGCUAUGCAGAUUUGUCUUGACCCUAACCCCUAACACUGCCUACCUUCGAAACCCCUUUUCUCACACACAUGGAUUAAUGAUUACUGUUUUAUUGUUUCUACAUGUCCAUCAUGUAUGCAGGCCUUCUGAUUCUAAUAAAUACAGAGA